RNAcentral lists this ribosomal RNA (574 nucleotides) under Bacillus sp. (in: firmicutes). RNAcentral's name for it is "bacterial SSU rRNA". It matches the Rfam family "Bacterial small subunit ribosomal RNA", at positions 94 to 653 of the family's 1533-position model. Lineage: Bacteria; Bacillati; Bacillota; Bacilli; Caryophanales; Bacillaceae. The record is from RNAcentral.
AGCGGCGGACGGGUGAGUAACACGUGGGUAACCUGCCCAUAAGACUGGGAUAACUCCGGGAAACCGGGGCUAAUACCGGAUAACAUUUUGAACUGCAUGGUUCGAAAUUGAAAGGCGGCUUCGGCUGUCACUUAUGGAUGGACCCGCGUCGCAUUAGCUAGUUGGUGAGGUAACGGCUCACCAAGGCAACGAUGCGUAGCCGACCUGAGAGGGUGAUCGGCCACACUGGGACUGAGACACGGCCCAGACUCCUACGGGAGGCAGCAGUAGGGAAUCUUCCGCAAUGGACGAAAGUCUGACGGAGCAACGCCGCGUGAGUGAUGAAGGCUUUCGGGUCGUAAAACUCUGUUGUUAGGGAAGAACAAGUGCUAGUUGAAUAAGCUGGCACCUUGACGGUACCUAACCAGAAAGCCACGGCUAACUACGUGCCAGCAGCCGCGGUAAUACGUAGGUGGCAAGCGUUAUCCGGAAUUAUUGGGCGUAAAGCGCGCGCAGGUGGUUUCUUAAGUCUGAUGUGAAAGCCCACGGCUCAACCGUGGAGGGUCAUUGGAAACUGGGAGACUUGAGUGCAGAA